This 289-nucleotide ribosomal RNA is filed under the name uncultured Bacteroidota bacterium. Its description in RNAcentral is "uncultured Bacteroidetes bacterium partial 16S ribosomal RNA". It matches the Rfam family "Bacterial small subunit ribosomal RNA", at positions 1045 to 1335 of the family's 1533-position model. The record is from RNAcentral. Lineage: Bacteria; Pseudomonadati; Bacteroidota.
AUGGCUGUCGUCAGCUCGUGCCGUGAGGUGUUGCYUUAAGUGGCGCAACGAGCGCAACCCCUGUGGUUAGUUACCAGCACGUUAUGGUGGGGACUCUAGCCAGACUGCUACGCAAGUAGUGAGGAAGGUGGGGACGACGUCAAGUCAUCAUGGCCCUUAUGUCCAGGGCUGCACACGUGCUACAAUGGAUGGUACAAUGGGAAGCCACCCGGUGACGGGGCGCAGAUCCAUAAAGCCAUUCCCAGUUCGGAUUGGAGUCUGCAACUCGACUCCAUGAAGAUGGAAUCGC